UGGAUUAAACUCUUAUAUCUGAUAAAAAUUAUGUUUUUUGUAAGGCUAAUCUAAAGAUGUGUUUAUUAAAUGAGAAUGCAUAAAAAUUAAACUAAACCGAAAGAAGAAAUAGAUAAGUAGCGCAUCACUGCUACCGUUCAGCUCAUGGGGAAGCCUUUUUAGCGGUUGGACAUGCUCUUUGGGGCCCAUGACGUUAUCUCUCAUACAGCUCAGCUCUAUUAAGAAAGACGUAACCAAAAUGACCUGAUGUGAUUAGGAUGACUAAGGCUUAGGAUCGCUGGGGUUGGCUGGGUUUGGCAGGGGGCCCAUGUUUACAUUCCCUCUGAGGAAACCAAGGAUGAAAGAACGCCACUGGACACAGACGCACACUCAGAAACAAGUGCUUCAUAUGCACUAGAGGUUAAAAUGACCAAAGCACACGGUGAUCAGUUUUAAUUCCUACCUAAAGCAAAAUAAUUAGGUUCAGGAAACCUAAUUCUUCACUGACCCGGCUCAGCUGGUUCAUGACGACAUUCCUGAAAGCACACCCUCACUAAUUAAAGUCUUCCUCUCCGAGCUUUGGAAGAAUAUGAAGCAUGAAUACAGGCAAUACACAGAAGGGAAAGCGGAUGUCCUAAUAAUAAGCAGAAAACUGAAUUCAGGGCACAGCAGAACAGAGGCUGUGAUGUUGUGUCUCCAGAGAAGCCCGAAGCUCCAGCAGUCAGCCAUGCUGUAAACACCAUUAUUUCACUCCCUCAGUCACUUUCCUCACUUUCUUUUACUUGUUCUUUCCAAAACAAGGCAAUCUACAGCUCUAAUAAUAUCCCCUCCCCGGGCCAAGAAAAGACAGACGAUGUAAGACAGAGGGGAGGCAGGCAGAUUGAGACCAGGGGCUGCUGGGGGUUUGGGGGUGGGGUGGGGGGAGCACGAGAGGGAAAAUUGCAAGAGCAGCACACAGACUGUAUACAGUAAAACAGAAAAAAGGGGAGCGCUGCAACUGUUGCCAAAGUAUGCACAGCUUACAGGAAUGCAGCAUGGGCCCCUCAGCGAAUGAAACAAAGACAGCACAACUGGGCUGUAAUAUCCAGGUGACCGUGUGCACAUGCAGCGCAUGCAUACCCCACUGUCUUGGGAGGAGAGCCGAGAUUGUGCCUCCAAUGAAUACGGUAUCUGACAAAGAUCCUCAGAGAGUCCUUUGCCAUGAGGUGCCAUGUUGAAACUUUCAGUGAUUGGUAUGAGUGAAUGUGAGAGCUAUGACGCCAAACCUGCCUACCUUACCUGCUCCCCAUUCACAACUGAGACCUUGCAGCAUUAUGAAGCGACAUGACAACAGGGAGGAAACAUGGCUAAUUGGGCACAACUUGUACAUUUUCCCUAAGGGCUGUACUCAUUUGUUGCCAGCGGUUUAGACAUGAAUUGCUGUGUGUUGAAUUAUUUACUUUCACAAGCUUACACAAGCUGUACACUGAUUAAAUUACAUAUCUAAAUGUAAUUUUUAGUGUUGUCCUGAGAAAAGACAAAAUAUUUACAAAAAUGUGAGGGAUGUGCUCAUUUUUAUGAGAUGAAUUGUAAAGUUUUCUGUGCAUGAGGGUGAGCUGAUGUACUGAACAGUAUGUAGGGAUAUUCUCCAAGUCUGUGGGAACUUUUCCACACUGCAACCACUUAAAUAGCAUUUUAUUAGAAUUUCAAA
Molecule: long non-coding RNA, 1669 nt
Organism: Fundulus heteroclitus (mummichog)
Lineage: Eukaryota; Metazoa; Chordata; Actinopteri; Cyprinodontiformes; Fundulidae
Exons: 3
Source: RefSeq, a predicted model, not a curated record